Molecule: ribosomal RNA, 235 nt
Filed under: uncultured bacterium
Lineage: Bacteria
Description: partial 16S ribosomal RNA
Rfam family: Bacterial small subunit ribosomal RNA
Source: RNAcentral
CGAACGGGUGCGUAACACGUGAACAACCUGCCCUCGUGUGGGGGAUAGCCAUGCUAACGCGUGGGUAAUACCGCAUACGUUCUUCUGGGGGAGUCCCUGGGAGAGGAAAGCUCCGGCGCACGGGGAGGGGUUCGCGGCCUAUCAGCUAGUUGGUGCGGUAACGGCGCACCAAGGCGACGACGGGUAGCUGGUCUGAGAGGAUGGCCAGCCACAUUGGGACUGAGAUACGGCCCAG